Long non-coding RNA from Neltuma alba, 105 nucleotides. RefSeq lists it as uncharacterized. NCBI's taxonomy places the organism in Eukaryota, Viridiplantae, Streptophyta, Magnoliopsida, Fabales, Fabaceae. The record is from RefSeq and is a predicted model, not a curated record. The transcript has 3 exons.
GUGAUAUGAAACAUCCGAUAAUUACGAAGAAUUUCACAAAUUUCAGCAGGCCGCAACCAACGAUGCUGGGCUUCAAAUUGAUUUUCAGCAAAUUGAAUUUGAAGA